This 70-nucleotide ribosomal RNA is filed under the name Atriplex portulacoides. RNAcentral's name for it is "Halimione portulacoides partial 5.8S ribosomal RNA". The record is from RNAcentral. Lineage: Eukaryota; Viridiplantae; Streptophyta; Magnoliopsida; Caryophyllales; Amaranthaceae.
CCAUCGAGUCUUUGAACGCAAGUUGCGCCCGAAACCAUUAGGUCGAGGGCACGCCUGCCUGGGCGUCACG